Long non-coding RNA from Elaeis guineensis (African oil palm), 1116 nucleotides. RefSeq lists it as uncharacterized. The record is from RefSeq and is a predicted model, not a curated record. NCBI's taxonomy places the organism in Eukaryota, Viridiplantae, Streptophyta, Magnoliopsida, Arecales, Arecaceae.
AGACCACAGGUACGAAAAUUUUGAGGACGAAAUUUUUUUUAGGGGAGAAGAAUGUAAUAUCUCAGCCCAAUUUGAAAUCCAGCCCAACUAAAAUAAAAGCCCAAAAGCUAAAGCACAACUCUUAAAGCACAAAAAAAAAAGAAAAUAGGGUAUUUAACGAGAGUCUUCUUCCUAUCCCAAUAAGGAGAUCAAAUCUGAACCAAAUCUCCAACUCUCCUUUAUAAAACGAAAACCCCCUCCCUUCCUCGGCCUUCCAUCGUCGGAAAAUCCCUCUUCCACUCCCUCUUUCUUCUGAUUUUUUUCCGUUUCCUUGCUCUCAAAUUGAAGGCAUUGCGUUGGUGAAAUUGUGGUCCAAAACACCACCAAGAGUAAGGCUUAUUGAAGGAUUUUCAGGAUUAAUUAGAUUCUAUAAUUGGAUUAGCUUUUGAGAUCAUUACAGCCAACAUAAACAGCUACAUGCAAAUGGAGGUGCUGGUAGUGCAUUUGCAACUUCUUAUGAAACAAAACCGUUGUACAGAAAAGAGUUACCUGAAAAGUAAGAAGUCUAAUACGAAGUGAUUUCUCUGUGCAUCGACCAAACAAUCUAAGGAAUAAGUUUAAAUCUACAAGGGUCAUAUCCUUCAUCCCAGUCAAAAGCCACGUUUGAGGAUCAAACACGAAGAAUCAAUGCUUUUUUAACGUCACUGAGAGCAUCUCACAGAAUGCUUGCUUCUGGAGAUUGAAUUUAAAUGAAAACCUACCUCGGCAGACGAUGCCUUGGACAGGGAUAGAUCUUAAAAACCUGGAGAGAAAGGAGAGUAAAGAAAGAAUGACAGGCCUGAGUUGUGAGAGUAGAUAAAUUUCAAUAAGAAAAGAAUAUUUAGGUUUAUAGAAACCUGAGGACAUGAUUACAGGAAAUUCAGAACUGGAGGCAAGAAGAAAAGCAGGAGUGUCUCACUGCAAGUGGACAUAUAAUGCUGGUUAGCAUAUAACAGACUACACAUCACCAGACUAUAAACACACGGCCACAACAUACACAUGAUAAACAAAAAAGAAUUGUACAAACACGCAAGUAAAUUCACUCAGUCUGAUAAAUAGAAGUUGCAAAUCACUUCCAUAAAACUCUGGAAGGCUCUU